RNAcentral lists this unclassified non-coding RNA (1949 nucleotides) under Bombus terrestris (buff-tailed bumblebee). RNAcentral describes it as "misc RNA ENSBTSG00005030728.1". Lineage: Eukaryota; Metazoa; Arthropoda; Insecta; Hymenoptera; Apidae. The record is from RNAcentral.
AUUAGAAUCGAAUCAUUUUCAGCUACUAAAAUCUACUGUCUUUCUCGUCUCGUAUCUAUGUACUCCCUAAGUCCGCCGAACGAAGGUAUUUAGGGUACUGACUGGAUGUUACUAGUGUGACUCCUAGCUGUAUUGCCUGUAUUGCUGAUCUCAUCUACAGUCAUGACAAUCAUCCUAAGUAGUAGAUAGUAGUAGAUGGUAGUAGUGGUAGAUUAGUAGGUCCUAGCAGGUAACAUUGCAGAGCUGUAGUCUCGCAUAGUAGGUAGUAGUAGUAGUAGCAGUAGUAGUAGCGGUAAUAGUACAGUAGUAGCAGUAGUAGUAGCAGUAGUAGUAGUAGUAGUAGUGGUAGUAGUAGUAGUAGUAACAGUAGCAGUAGCAGUAGUAGUAGUAGUAGUAGUAAUAGUAGUAGUAGUAGUAGUAGUAGUAGUAGUAGUAGUAGUAGUAGCAGCAGCAGUAGUAGUAGUACUAGUAGAAAUAGUAGUAGUACAAUAGUAACAGUAGCGGUAGCAGUUGUAGUAGUAGUACUAAUAGAAGUAGUAGUAACAGUAGCAGUAGUAACAGUAGCAGUAGCAGUAGCAGUAGCAGUAGCAGUAGCAGUAGCAGUAGUAAUAGUAGUAGUAGUAGUAGUAGUAGUAGUAGUAGUAGUAGUAGUAGUAGUAGUAGUAGUAGUAGUAGUAGUAGUAGUAGUAGUUGUGGUGGUGGUGGUGGUAGUUGCGGAUUCAACGGGCUGCAACGGGUCAGCGUCGAGACUGACUCGCCGCACGCGUUUAGAUUUGUCGACCUAUGGAAAACACAGAGAGAGAGGAGGACAAGAGACGCCCACGUUUUCAUUUAUAGCUCUUCUUCAUAUUCGUUUCCUUUCUUUCUUUCUUUCUUUUGCUCUCUUUUCUCUUUCAUCGCUUGCCUUUCUAGCCGCGUUUCCUCGUCAUACAUCUUUCGUUCUAUCGUGAUUGCCAUUCGUACGAGAAACGAGAGAAAGAGGGAAAGAAAGCGAUUAAUUCCAAACCCGCUGGAGAUGUCUUUGUGCCGAAGUUACACUCGUUCUAGUUUUUUCUCUCACAUCCGUCGCAGCAUAUGACGCGACGCAGCUUCGACUAUCGACAGAUUUUAUCAAAGACUACUCCGAGCUCUUUCUCUCCGUAACCCUCUCGAUCUCCGGCAAAAUUUCUUUAGCUCGCGUGUUGGCUCUCUUCUGAUCCUUGCUCUGAUCGUGAUCCUCGAACAUCGAUCGUCGAGGUUCUAUCAGCUCCGUAUUUGUAUCUCGUACGCGUGCUUUUUCCAUCGAUUUUGAUAAUUUACCGCCCGCAACUACUUCGAUCUCCGAUUGUACACGCUAACACAACCAACGAUAUUCGAAAGGUAUACACAUCUACGGCUACGAAUACGGAGCUGGAAACGAUAAUCUUGGCAGUGGCUGAACCGUCCAGCCCGUUCUGGAUAUACGUGUAGGUAUAAUCGUGCAUUAUUUGCUCGCUUCGUGAAAACCCUCGGGAGAAGCGCGGUAGAUACGUUCGUGUUUGCACGAGGGAGACUCAGUCGCGCGCGUGUAAAUCGAGAAAAGGGCUUAUCACGAGACCGACCAGCGAAUAAACUAAAAGCUGUCCGAGAAGUAUUCGUCGAUUUCAUUUCUCGCGACGAUGAGGUCUCCAUCGGUCGAUUCGAUUACCGUGACAUACAGUAGAAGCGCGUAGAUAAUGCCAACGAAUUAGCAUUGCCGCGGCGAGAGUAAUCGCGGGUACUUUCGUGAUAUUUUAUCACGUCAGAUUACAUCGACUAUUCGAAUCAAUGUUAAUGCCGCGGCUGAUUGCGCACAUGAAUUUAAGAUUACUCGCGUAAACAUCGAAAAGGCAUUAAUCAGAUGAAUACAAACGAUGGUACUUUGCGUAAUCGCGAGCACGCUAUGUUUUUGCGAUCGUUGGAAAAGAUGCUCUCGCGAUAAGCCCACAAGU